Molecule: ribosomal RNA, 303 nt
Filed under: uncultured bacterium
Lineage: Bacteria
Description: bacterial SSU rRNA
Rfam family: Bacterial small subunit ribosomal RNA
Source: RNAcentral
UGGGGAAUAUUGGGCAAUGGGCGCAAGCCUGACCCAGCAACGCCGCGUGAAGGAAGAAGGCUUUCGGGUUGUAAACUUCUUUUCUGGGGGACGAACAAAUGACGGUACCCCAGGAAUAAGCCACGGCUAACUACGUGCCAGCAGCCGCGGUAAUACGUAGGUGGCAAGCGUUAUCCGGAUUUAUUGGGUGUAAAGGGCGUGUAGGCGGGAAAGCAAGUCAGAUGUGAAAACUCAGGGCUCAACCCUGAGCCUGCAUUUGAAACUGUUUUUCUUGAGUGCUGGAGAGGCAAUCGGAAUUCCGUG